UAGGGUGGCCAUGCAUCCUGGUUUGCCUGGGACUGUGCCAGUUUGGGCACCCUGGGGAACCCCUUAGUCCAGGGGAAGCCAGG
Molecule: microRNA precursor, 83 nt
Organism: Myotis lucifugus (little brown bat)
Lineage: Eukaryota; Metazoa; Chordata; Mammalia; Chiroptera; Vespertilionidae
Source: Ensembl